This 79-nucleotide transfer RNA is filed under the name Alphaproteobacteria bacterium. RNAcentral describes it as "tRNA-Asp". It matches the Rfam family "tRNA". From Rfam's summary of the family: Transfer RNA (tRNA) molecules are approximately 80 nucleotides in length. Their secondary structure includes four short double-helical elements and three loops (D, anti-codon, and T loops). RNAcentral also lists the same sequence under 1 other name. Lineage: Bacteria; Pseudomonadati; Pseudomonadota; Alphaproteobacteria. The record is from RNAcentral.
GGGGGUGUAGCUCAGCUUGGUUUAGAGCGCCGGCCUGUCACGCCGGAGGUCGCGGGUUCGAGUCCCGUCACUCCCGCCA